Molecule: long non-coding RNA, 464 nt
Organism: Gadus macrocephalus (Pacific cod)
Lineage: Eukaryota; Metazoa; Chordata; Actinopteri; Gadiformes; Gadidae
Exons: 5
Source: RefSeq, a predicted model, not a curated record
GAGCCUCGGGUCCUGUCUAAGUUACAGUCUCCGGCCUGCAGGGGGCGCCGUGGGGCGUCUUGGGCAGGCUCUCCACUGCAGUUUGUUGUUCCACGACCUUCUUCAGGUGCCGUCAGCCAUGGUGGUGAGUUGCUCAAGUGGUGGUCCAUAUGAAGCAGUCUGGGCUCCUGCUUUGCUCCAUGUUGGACCCUGGUUCUGCAGGCGGUGCUCAGGAUGAAGGCUGGGGUUCUGCUGAGCUCCAUGUUGGAACCUAGUUCUGCAGAGUAGCAGGUAAACAGGCAGGGUUCAGGAUGGUCUGGGGUUCUGCUCGGCGCCAUGUUGGACCCUAGUUUUGCAGAGCAACAGGGCUGACGGGCCAGUCCCCUUCUCCACCCACUGCUCUCAGACAUGGAAAGUGGAAGCUGGCCACUUGAAGUCUACAUCUCUUGAGAUUAUUGUUUUCAAUAAAGUUUCUGUUGACUAGA